Molecule: ribosomal RNA, 253 nt
Filed under: uncultured bacterium
Lineage: Bacteria
Description: partial 16S ribosomal RNA
Rfam family: Bacterial small subunit ribosomal RNA
Source: RNAcentral
UACAGAGGGUGCAAGCGUUGUUCGGAAUUAUUGGGCGUAAAGGGCGCGUAGGCGGUGCGGUAAGUCUGUAGUGAAAUCUCUGGGCUCAACUCAGAGUCUGCUGCAGAAACUGCCGUGCUUGAGUGUGGGAGAGGUGAGUGGAAUUCCCGGUGUAGCGGUGGAAUGCGUAGAGAUCCGGAAGAACACCGGUGGCGAAGGCGGUCUGCUGGGCAGUUGCUGACACUGAUGCGCGACAGCGUGGGGAGCAAACAGG